GGUCAAGUUAUUAAGGGUGCAGGGCGGAUGCCUUGGCACUAGGAGCCGAUGAAGGACGUGAUAAGCUGCGAUAAGCUUCGGGGAGUUGCACGUAAACUUUGAUCCGAAGAUUUCCGAAUGAGGAAACUCACUUAGAGUAAUGUCUAAGUAUCAUUAAGUGAAUACAUAGCUUAAUGAGGGGAACUCAGGGAACUGAAACAUCUAAGUACCUGAAGGAAGAGAAAGAAAUUCGAUUCCGUAAGUAGCGGCGAGCGAACGCGGAUUAGCCCAAACCAAUAAAGUUUUCUUUAUUGGGGUUGCGGACAUAUCAUAACGAAGAGGUAUCGUAAUUGAAGAGGUUUGGAAAGACCCACCACAGAAGGUAAUAGUCCUGUAUGUUAAACGAGAAGACUUCAGAUAUGAUCCAGAGUACCACGGGACACGUGAAACCCUGUGGGAAGCAGGAGGGACCACCCUCCAAGGCUAAAUACUACCUAGUGACCGAUAGCGUAUAGUACCGUGAGGGAAAGGUGAAAAGAACCCCGGGAGGGGAGUGAAAUAGAACCUGAAACCCUGCACUUACAAGCUGUGGAAGCACAUUUCUUGUGUGACCGCGUACUUUUUGUAGAACGGGCCAACGAGUUACGUUAAGUAGCAAGGUUAAGCACUUAAGGUGCGGAGCCGUAGCGAAAGCGAGUUUUAACUGAGCGUUCAGUUACUUGACGUAGACCCGAAACCGGGCGACCUACCCAUGAGCAGGAUGAAGCGAAAGUAAAAUUUCGUGGAGGUCCGAACCCACGAGCGUUGAAAAGCUCGGGGAUGACUUGUGGGUAGCGGUGAAAUUCCAAUCGAGCCCGGAGAUAGCUGGUUCUCCCCGAAAUAGCUUUAGGGCUAGCCUCAAGGUGAGAGAUACGGAGGUAGAGCACUGAAUGUCCUAGGGGGUAUUGCACCUACCGAAGACUAUCAAACUCCGAAUGCCGUCAUCUUAUACUUGGGAGUCAGACUGUGGGUGAUAAGAUUCAUAGUCGAAAGGGCAACAGCCCAGAUCGUCAGCUAAGGUCCCUAAAUGUAAGUUAAGUGGUAAAGGAUGUGGGAUUGCACAGACAACCAGGAUGUUGGCUUAGAAGCAGCCACUCAUUCAAAGAGUGCGUAAUAGCUCACUGGUCGAGUGAUCCUGCGCCGAAGAUUUCCGGGGCUAAAACUU
Molecule: ribosomal RNA, 1183 nt
Filed under: Clostridioides difficile
Lineage: Bacteria; Bacillati; Bacillota; Clostridia; Peptostreptococcales; Peptostreptococcaceae
Description: partial 23S ribosomal RNA
Rfam family: Bacterial large subunit ribosomal RNA
Source: RNAcentral